AGUGAACGCUGGCGGUAGGCCUAACACAUGCAAGUCGAACGGCAGCACAGGAGAGCUUGCUCUCUGGGUGGCGAGUGGCGGACGGGUGAGGAAUACAUCGGAAUCUACUCUGUCGUGGGGGAUAACGUAGGGAAACUUACGCUAAUACCGCAUACGACCUACGGGUGAAAGCAGGGGAUCUUCGGACCUUGCGCGAUUGAAUGGGCCGAUGUCGGAUUAGCUAGUUGGCGGGGUAAAGGCCCACCAAGGCGACGAUCCGUAGCUGGUCUGAGAGGAUGAUCAGCCACACUGGAACUGAGACACGGUCCAGACUCCUACGGGAGGCAGCAGUGGGGAAUAUUGGACAAUGGGCGCAAGCCUGAUCCAGCCAUACCGCGUGGGUGAAGAAGGCCUUCGGGUCGUAAAGCCCUUUUGUUGGGAAAGAAAUCCAGCUGGCUAAUACCCGGUUGGGAUGACGGUACCCAAAGAAUAAGCACCGGCUAACUUCGUGCCAGCCGCCGCGGUAA
This 506-nucleotide ribosomal RNA is filed under the name uncultured bacterium. Its description in RNAcentral is "partial 16S ribosomal RNA". It matches the Rfam family "Bacterial small subunit ribosomal RNA", at positions 29 to 523 of the family's 1533-position model. The record is from RNAcentral.